RNAcentral lists this ribosomal RNA (412 nucleotides) under uncultured bacterium. RNAcentral's name for it is "partial 16S ribosomal RNA". It matches the Rfam family "Bacterial small subunit ribosomal RNA", at positions 355 to 780 of the family's 1533-position model. The record is from RNAcentral.
UGGGGAAUAUUGCACAAUGGGCGCAAGCCUGAUGCAGCGACGCCGCGUGGGGGAUGACGGCCUUCGGGCUGUAAACCUCUUUCAGCAGGGACGAAGCGAAAGUACGGUACCUGCAGAAGAAGCACCGGCCAACUACGUGCCAGCAGCCGCGGUAAUACGUAGGGUGCGAGCGUUGUCCGGAAUUACUGGGCGUAAAGAGCUCGUAGGUGGUUUGUCGCGUUGUUCGUGAAAACCGGGGGCUUAACCCUCGGCGUGCGGGCGAUACGGGCAGACUAGAGUACUNCAGGGGAGACUGGAAUUCCUGGUGUAGCGGUGGAAUGCGCAGAUAUCAGGAGGAACACCGGUGGCGAAGGCGGGUCUCUGGGCAGUAACUGACGCUGAGGAGCGAAAGCGUGGGGAGCGAACAGGAUUA